AGAAUCAACGCUGGCGGCGUGCCUAACACAUGCAAGUCGCACGAGAAAGGGCAGCAAUACCUGAGUAAAGUGGCGCACGGGUGAGUAACACGUGAAUUAUCUACCUCCGAGUGGGGAAUAACUGAGAGAAAUCUUAGCUAAUACCGCAUAACACUUACGAGUCAAAGCAGCAAUGCGCUUGGAGAGGAGUUCGCGGCAGAUUAGUUAGUUGGCGGGGUAAUGGCCCACCAAGACGAUGAUCUGUAUCCGGCCUGAGAGGGCGCACGGACACACUGGAACUGAAACACGGUCCAGACUCCUACGGGAGGCAGCAGUGGGGAAUUUUGCGCAAUGGGGGAAACCCUGACGCAGCAACGCCGCGUGGAGGAUGAAAUAUCUUGGUAUGUAAACUCCUUUCGAUGGGGAAGAUUAUGACGGUACCCAUAGAAGAAGCCCGGCUAACUUCGCGCCAGCAGCCGCGGUAA
Molecule: ribosomal RNA, 464 nt
Filed under: uncultured bacterium
Lineage: Bacteria
Description: SSU rRNA
Rfam family: Bacterial small subunit ribosomal RNA
Source: RNAcentral